CAUUAUCAAUGGUGGCAACAAAGCAUGGUGUGCUGGGUGUGCAUCAUUCAAUAUCUAAGUAUUUUAAUAUCACGCUCAGUUAUAAUGUAUUAUGGAAAUGCAUAAAAAGAAUCAUAGAACCGUGAAAAUCGAAUCCGAAUUAAAAUUUCGGUUCCGAUUCUUGUAAUUUCGGUUUUAAAUUUAAAAACCGUGCGCAUACGAUUCCGGUUCCACCCCUCGAGAACCGUUAAAUAAACCGUGCGCAUACUAUUUUUUUUUAGGUUUUUUGCCCUCAAUCUCAGAUCUCUCACUCUCGAGUCUCAGUCCUCGCCUCCUCUCAAUCUCUGAGAUUCUCUCUCUCCUUUGGCUCUUCACUUUGAAAGAGCAGACCCUAAUCAAGUUAUCUGAGCAAGCACAAGGUAGAAGACGAUGCUGAGAGUUGCGGGUAGGAGGUUAACCUCUCUCUCAUGGAGGUCCACCCAGACAUCAUCGGCCUUCGUCAACAGAAAUCCAAUCAACGGCUCUGAUUCGCCAUCAUCCGAUUCCAGCUGGUCCACCUCCCAACUCCCCUACACAUUUUCUGUCUCUUCCCAAUUUCUGGAUCAAAUCAGAGGUCAGCCCUCUCACCUUUGUUGCUCUCUCUCUCUCGUCUUUCAGAUCUAGGGCUCAUAUAUUUUUGCCUACUAUGCAUCUGUUCAUGGCUUUGGGUUUUCUUUUCUGAUCCAUUUGAUUGUUAGCAAGAUAUACAGGAACACGUAUAAAAAUUAGAUUCCUUACCUGUUGGUGUAUUUUUUUUUUCAUUGUAUGGUGCCUGAAACCUUCAUGAUUGAUACUAGUAUUUGGUUUUGUUGAGUUGAAUUUCUCACUUUUUUGGAUUUGAAAAAAAAAAAAAAAAAAAAAAAAAAAAUAUUCCAAGCCCGACCAUCAAACAAGGAAAAAAACCAAACAAAUUUCAUAAAAAUAAAGAACAGUUCGAACAGUAGACAACCAAUAAUCGUGAAGGGCGGGUUAGAGCAUCUCCAACCGAUGCUUCAAAUUUCAUACCUCAAAUUUAUUUGAGGUAUGAUAUGGAAAAUUGACCUAUGACAUUUUGGCAUACUCCAUAUGUCAAAUUUAUUAAUUUAUUAAUAUUUAAGGUUUCGAAUGAAGAUUUUCAAUAUGUCAAAUUUAAAUUGUUUGUGAGAUCCAUAAAUUAAAAUAAUAAAAAAAAAUUUAUUUGACAUACUACUUUUUGAUAUACUAAAUUUGACAUAGUUGAUGGUAUGGCAUGCUAAAUAGGCAUUCAAGAUAUUGAUUGGAGGAGUCUUGAUGUCAAAAAAAAUAGCUGUCGCAAAUACUAUUUGACAUAUUUUAAUUCACAAUUCUAAACAUUUUUUUUUAAUAAUUGAAAUUUCUUAUAUUUAAAUUAUACUAUUAGAGAUGGACACUGCAGGACAGACAAUUAUCACUAGAGAAUAUCGAUUAGUAAAAUUUAUCACUAUAGAAAACUUAGACAAACAAGUUGCAAAAUACCACAUUCUACAAGUUUUAUUUACAUUUUUUUUGCAAAAGUCCUUUGAUUUCAAUAUCCGAUUGGUAGAUGGGGAUUUGUUUGUCCCUCCAAAAAAUUAUUUGCACUUAGUAGGAACCGAUUCUAAGACCUGAUGCUUUUCUAGAGCGGUAUUUCAAUAUGCAAUUUUUUAUUUUACUUUUUGACAAUGCAUUAUUAUUUUUUGGGUCAUUGGCAAAAACACACACACUAAACUCAUACACCCGCUUUGGAGACUUGAACCCUUAAAUCUACUUUAGAAGGUAGAGGAGAUACCGCUAGGACACUAAGUCCUUGGUAGCUUUUUGACAAGGUAGGGGAGUUUAAUACAAAAAAAUAUAUACAUAUAUUUAAUUAACAGUUUGGUUUUUCAACCCAAAACGAGAAUACUUCUUUAUGUUUUAAACCGAAACUGAAAGGAACCAUAAUAAUAAUAAUAAGGUAAAUUAUACGGACCUUCCUAUGGUUUGCCAUAAUUACAGGGCUCCUAUAUGAUUUGAGAAAUUACUCGGACCUCCCCUAAAGAUAAAAUUAACCUACACGGACUACCCUUUUGUUAAAGUCAACGUGAGUCAAUGUGAGUCAAUGAUGAAUUUUGCUAAUGUAAUGUACUUGAUAAAUUAAAAUUUUCAUUGACAUUUUAAACCUUAAAAAUCAGUAAGUAUUACCAAAAUACCUCAUCCUACUAAAUAGCAAAAAAAUUUACCUUAUCAAUGUAUGUAGACCUUUGGUGAACUAGUGUGAAAAAAAAAAAAAAAAAAGUAGGAUUUAUUGUAGACCCACUUCUGUCCAAGUUGUUUCUCAUGUUUGAAUUUAUGAUCUGAAGUUCUUUUUCUUUAGACCUAUUUUUCUUUUUCAUAUGAAGCCAAUAAUCUCACUGAUAUAACACAAUAUACAUGAGCAUCACAACCCCCAAAUAGCCAUUAUAGGUUAGAGUGGCGAGGAGAGAUUGAUGUGGAUGUUUUUGGGUUUGUCUCGCUACCGUUCAGACUUUGCUUGCCGAAUCAUCGCCGGAUUCCUUACUACCCGUCGUUCAGACUUUGCUCGUUGGCAUCGUUCAUCGCCACCGUUGGAACUUCUAUCCUUUGAAAGCAAGAUCAAACCCAAAACCUCUUCGGCGGAGCAAGAGGUCAUCGAUCCGGCUCACCGGAGUAAACCAAGUAGAGAGAGGAGACGGAAGGUCGGCGGUAGCGAAGCACUGCGGCGGCUUCCCCUUCCAGAAACUGACACACCGCUCCUUCUCGGAAUAGACCCAGCACUGCUCCGGUCUCUGUUCCUCUCCUCUUCUUCACGACGGCGGCUUCGCCUAAAUCAGCCUCCGCUCCUUCCCGGUGCUUGACAGUGGCAGAGAGUUGAUGUUGAGGCAGAGGGCGUGAAGAAGAUCACGGUCGAAGCUCGGAGUCUGAAGCGCGGUCGCCGAAGAAGAGGGGGCGUGUGUGCGCGUGAAAAUGUUACGUAUUUCCUUUUAUUAUAUUUGUCAUUAUAUUCUUCCAGCUCAUGGCAUCUCUGUUAGUUAGUUGAGGCCUAAUAAACAGGAAAGAAAUAGUUUUCUCCUGAAUUAAUUGCAAGUUAACUUCUUUUGCUAUUUAGUUGGUAGAGUCCUCUUAAUUCUCUAUGUUAGUUGGUAGAGUCCUACUGUUACUGAUUUCUGUUGUAAGUAGCUUCUAUUUAAGUUGAAGGAAUCAUGAAUAAAGUAUGCUUAUCCGUUGUUCAACCUUGAGUUGUAUCAGAGGUCUCGGUUCCUCAAUUAACCGUUAAUUCUUUUUCUUAGAUUGCAUUAUAGGUUCCAGUAAACAAAAGAGGAAUUCUCCUCAGUACGCCCCACAGUGGUAUCAGAGCAAGGGCAUGGAUACACAGGUGGAUAAAUUGGAGGCAGACGUAGGAUCGCUCACCACUGGCCAACAAAAAUUAUGGAGAAGCUUUCUUAGCUUUUCGAAAAGCUCAAUUUGCGACCCAACCCUGACCGUGAUGAAGGAGAGCACUCAGUAGCUGUACUUCAAAUUUUGGAAAUCGACUUAACAAUGGUAAUGGAAUUCGACAAAAUGGAUCGCAACAGUCUUAUCUUCCCAAGAUUGUUAAACUUGAUUUUCCUCGUUUCAAAGGCGAAGAAGACACAACAAGUUGGAUCAGUAUGUCCCAGAAAAGCACGUUAGAUCUACUCGCAGGAGCGCGUGACGUGCUUGGAGCCUGGAAAAACUGACAAACUUGGCAAUCCGGCCAAGCCACUCCUCCUCUCUGUUCGUUCCGGUGCUACAGUGGUGUGGAUAAGGAAAAAGUUGCGGUGGUGGUGGUGAUGUGGAGAGGGAAGUGGCGCCGUUAGAGAGGGAUGGUGUAGGCGACAGUAAGUGAUUAGUUUCUCGUGGUGCGGCUCGAAGUUCAGUCUGGCGGCGAUGGUGGUCUGUGGUGUUCAGUCCCGCGGCGAUGGUGGGGUGUGGUGUUGAUAUGCCGAUAUGAGAGUAUAGAGAGAGAAUAUGUAAAUAAGGGCAGUAUGGUAAUUUAAUUCCAACUUUUUGGAUCACAUGAUAGCACAUGCGUGUCAUAUCAAACCGGAGCCUUACCGCCGGAUUGGAACCUCCAAGUAGAAACCCCAUCGCUAUUUACAGUACGAAGGUGAAGACAACCCCAAGGAUACCCAAGGUAAAAAAAAUUCUUCAUGUCUUAUUUAUUUAUUUAUUUUUUGUGUGCAAGACGUUUAAAGUUUUCACCAUACCCGUGUUCAUUAAUUCAAGUUGAGGUGGUUAUUACUUGUUACAAUAAAAUUAUAAAAUAUAGAAUUCUUAAAUAUGGGCCUACUAGAAUUUGCAAUAAGGUGGGAUUCAAUUAUUUUGUAGUUGUUGAGUUGUAUGCAUAGGAAUGUGGUAUCAACUCAUUCUAGUUUUUUAUUUCCAAAAAAAAAAAAAAAAAAAUUAUUUAAGUUUCAAAAACUUUUAAGGAUUCAAUUUUCUAGACUACAUAUUGAAGUAGCAGAAAAUAUAAGAAAUAUUAUUUCAAUUAUCAGACUAUCAAAUAAAUCCAUAAAAAUGCUGCAUGUGUUUAUGCUGCAAAAUGUUCUCAUUGUUUAAGUUAUUUUAAAAGGGGGAUCCAUUUUAAUUUCUUAACUUGUUAAAUUAUGGGAUAGGGGCUGAAGCCAUGUGUUUGCUGAUCUUGGCCACAUCACCAAGAAAGCAAUUCAGGUAAGCAAUGGGUUCCCAUAAAGCUAUAUUGAGUUUCUUGACUGAAUUCUAUUAACAUGAUUGACUUCAUUAGAAUGUUCUCUCUCGCAGUUGGCUUUCUCUUCAUUUGUUUAUCCAACUUUGAUCCUCAUGAAGCUGCCUAUUUGAUUAAACACCUUGAUAAUAUGGGAAAUGCCUUUUACAGUUCCAUUCCUAAACCAGUACUAACCUAUGUUCGUUAUAUCUACGCUAGCUGCCAUUGUUGCAAGCCAAUCAAUGAUAUCUACAAGUUUCUCUAUCAUAAAGCAGUCCCUCACUCUUGGUUGUUUCCCUCGGGUUAACAUGAUGCGCAUUUCCUCCAAGCAUGAGGGGCAAGUCUAUUCUCCAGAAAUAAAUUACACACCAUGAUUAUCUGUAUGGCUCUUGUGGUCAGAUUCAAAGAUGUUGUUGAAAUAGGAAAUUCAUUUGGUAAACCAUCUUCUUAGAUACACAUUUUCUAUUUUUAAUGUAACUUCUGGCUUUCAUAACAAUGGCAAGUGUGGUUGUUGUUUGGGUCAUGAUCAUAACGCCUUUCUUGAUAACAUUAGUUAUGCUUGUGAUAUGGGACACGAAACCUCUCCUCAUCUGUGCCUUUUUCUUGCCAUUUGUUGCAAUUGAAGGCACAGAUGGGGAGAUGAUUUGUGUCCCAUAUCACAAGCAUAACUAAUGUUAUCAAGCAACUCGUUAUGAUCAUGACCCAAACGACAACCACACCUACCAUUGUUAUGAAAGCCCGAAGUUACACUAAAAAUCAAAGAAAAUAUUCACUCAAUAGAAAUUGAAAAUGUGUAUCUAAGAAGAUGGUUUACCAAAUGCAUUUCCUAUUUCAACACCAUAUCUGAAUCUGACCAGACCACAAGAGCCAUACAGAUAAUCAUGAGGGUGUAGUUUUUUUUUUUCUGGAGAAUAGACUUGCCCCUCAUGCUUGGAGGAAGUGUGUAUCAUGUUAACCCGAGGGAAACAAACGAGAGUGAGGGACUUCUUUAUGAUAGAGAAGCUUGCAGAUAUCAUUGAUUGGCUUGCAACAAUGGCAGCUAGCAUAGAUAUAACGAACAUAGGCCAGUACACUGGUUUAGGAAUGGAAAUGUAAAAGGCAUUUCCCAUAUUAUUAGGGUGUUUAAUCAAAAAGGCAGCCUCAUAGGUGAGGAUCAAGCUUGCCCCCCCUCUAUCUUUGCAACUGCUAUCUUGUAUGUAUGGAUUUUGUUUUUAAUUUUUUUCUAAAUCAACUAAUAAUCAAGGUCUGUAUUUCUUGUUUUGCAUACUAAAUCCUAUUUGGUGAAAUUUUUUAUGAUGUUUUUAAUAUAAUUUUUUUUAUUUACAAUAAAAGUAACAAAAUUUGCAUUGCAUUUUGAGAUAAUCAUUGCAUUGCAUUUUGAGAUAAUCACCUUAAUCUACAUUUUAUUUCAGCAAAACAAUUUUUUAUUUAUUUUUAUUUUUUAUUUCUAUAACUUCUAUUUCUGUUUUUUGUUGUCGUCAAUUAUGUCUACAAGAAAAUUUGAAUCUGGGCAUGAAAAAAGAUAAAGAAAAAAAGAAUCUGAAUUGGAUUACAAAUCUGCCGAGAUUGAAUCUGAAACAAUUUUUAUCAACAUGCCAAGGUUUUGAAGAUCUAAAUGUUUUCAGAACUAAAAAAAAUCAUAACAAGAACUACCUCAUAGUGUUGAGUGAAUUUCAUAGUGUUGGAAGGGGGCUUGCCAUGAACUACCUCACACUCUGCUUCCACUAGUAGAUUCUCAAAUAGGAUUAGUAAAUUGGUCAAAAGAAGAGAUAGGGUACUGAGUGGUGAAUUGUUCAAAAAUAAAUUGGCUAUUUUUUUUUUAUUAAUUGCCAAAUAGGAUUUUCUAUGCCUUAAUCAGUCAAUUGUCUAAAGAAACAUUGUUAAUUAACUAAAAUUGAAUUAAACAAUAGUUGAUUUUGGUUGAUAUAUUUUGAUUUAGCCCACCCCAUUGAGAAAUCCUGGAUCCGCCCUUGGUGAAGACAACCCAAACGCCCGAAUAGCCUUGAUUGUAGCAUAGAAGCAUGGAAGACGCCAUAGUGACUGCUAACCAGAGCAAAGAACAUCUUGAAAGCGGCGGCAUAUAUGUAUGGUGAUUCUGAGUCUCAUGACCUACCCAGAUCACUCAGUUUCUACUGGUACUUAUAUCUGCCUCCUCUAAGGAAACCCAAGGACUAUCAUGGAGGGGAAACAGUGUUACUGGCAUUCCAAUCACUAGGAGUUGUAUAUGGAGACCUUAGAACACCUCUCCUCCAUGUCUUCUCCUCCAUUCGCCUCUCAAUCCCCGGUGAAGAGGACCUGCUCGGAAUAUUCAGUUUGAUCUUCUGGACUUUAACUUCAAUUGCCUUGAUCAAAUAUGUAUUUAUCGUUCUUCAAGCUGAUGAUCACGGAGAAGGUGGUACAUUUGCUCUCUAUUUAUACCUCUUUCGUCUUGUUAAUUUCCGGAACACCCAAGAAAGUGCUGUGAAAUCUAGGACUAAGAAGUUCCUUGCUCAGUCCGCCUUAACUUUUGUCGUAAUGCUGGGAAUUUGCAUGGUAAUUGGCGAUGGCGCUCGAACUCCUGCCACUAGCGGUAAUUUCACAUACUAUAGUAAAUCUAUUGCUUCUGGCUGUGUUGAGCUCCAAUUUUAUUCUCGUUUGAUGUUUUUUUUUCUUCUAUGCAUAGCCACAGAGCACUAUAGCGUUAUUCUUAAUACAAUUAUUACGUGUUGUAGUUAUCUCAGCCCUUGGAUUCACUCGUUUCCUCAAAGAUAACACAAAGUGAGCUAUGUUGUAACACUCCAAAAGCAUUUUUAAAAAAAAAAACUAUAAUUACUAUUUUAACUAAUUCAAGUUCAAUUUAUGUUUGUCUUAGAGCAUGUUAUUGCCCUUGCGGUUGUGCUACUUCUAUUCGUCAUUUUCCAGCAAUGUGGAACAAGUAGAGUUAUGGUUCUUAUCAAAUGCUGCAAUUGGCAUAUUAGCAUGAUUGGAGGGAAAGA
Cornus florida is the source of this 7668-nucleotide RNA transcript. It is a transcript of the gene named potassium transporter 26-like, with no coding region annotated. The transcript has 2 exons. The record is from RefSeq and is a predicted model, not a curated record. NCBI's taxonomy places the organism in Eukaryota, Viridiplantae, Streptophyta, Magnoliopsida, Cornales, Cornaceae.